Molecule: ribosomal RNA, 442 nt
Filed under: uncultured bacterium
Lineage: Bacteria
Description: partial 16S ribosomal RNA
Rfam family: Bacterial small subunit ribosomal RNA
Source: RNAcentral
CCUACGGGGAGCAGCAGUAGGGAAUAUUGGGCAAUGGGCGAAAGCCUGACCCAGCAACGCCGCGUGAAGGAAGAAGGCUUUCGGGUUGUAAACUUCUUUUGACAGGGAAGAGCAGAAGACGGUACCUGUCGAAUAAGCCACGGCUAACUACGUGCCAGCAGCCGCGGUAAUACGUAGGUGGCAAGCGUUGUCCGGAUUUACUGGGGGUAAAGGGCGUGUAGCCGGGCUGAUAAGUCAGAUGUGAAAUCCGGGGGCUCAACCCCCGAACUGCAUUUGAAAUUGUUGGUCUUGAGUAUCGGAGAGGCAGGCGGAAUUCCUAGUGUAGCGGUGAAAUGCGUAGAUAUUAGGAGGAACACCAGUGGCGAAGGCGGCCUGCUGGACGACAACUGACGGUGAGGCGCGAAAGCGUGGGGAGCAAACAGGAUUAGAUACCCUGGUAGUC